UUGGCUCAGGAUGAACGCUGGCGGCGUGCCUAACACAUGCAAGUCGAGCGAUGAACGGAUGGACAAGGCUUCGGCCAAGGAAAUCUGUUCAGAGCGGCGGAUGGGUGAGGAACGCGUGGGGAACCUGCCUUUCACCGGGGGAUACCAGCUGAAAACGGCUGUUAAUACCGCAUAUGCUCACAGUGCCGCAUGGCACAGGGAGGAAAACUCCGGUGGUGAAAGAUGGACCCGCGUCGGAUUAGUUAGUUGGCGGGGUAACGGCCCACCAAGACGAUGAUCCGUAGCCGGCCUGAGAGGGCGACCGGCCACAUUGGGACUGAGACACGGCCCAAACUCCUACGGGAGGCAGCAGUGGGGAAUA
RNAcentral lists this ribosomal RNA (361 nucleotides) under uncultured rumen bacterium. RNAcentral describes it as "bacterial SSU rRNA". It matches the Rfam family "Bacterial small subunit ribosomal RNA", at positions 19 to 363 of the family's 1533-position model. The record is from RNAcentral.